UACGUAGGGAGCAAGCGUUGUUCGGAUUUACUGGGCGUAAAGGGCGCGUAGGCGGCGCGGUAAGUCACUUGUGAAAUCUCUGAGCUUAACUCAGAACGGCCAAGUGAUACUGCAGUGCUAGAGUGCAGAAGGGGCAAUCGGAAUUCUUGGUGUAGCGGUGAAAUGCGUAGAUAUCGAGAGGAACACCUGCGGCGAAGGCGGGUUGCUGGGCUGACACUGACGCUGAUGCGCGAAAGCUAGGGGAGCGAACGGG
Molecule: ribosomal RNA, 253 nt
Filed under: uncultured bacterium
Lineage: Bacteria
Description: partial 16S ribosomal RNA
Rfam family: Bacterial small subunit ribosomal RNA
Source: RNAcentral